UCCCAAACCCCAAUGUGAACGUUACCAAUCUGUUGCCUCGGCGGGAUUCUCUUGCCCCGGGCGCGUCGCAGCCCCGGAUCCCAUGGCGCCCGCCGGAGGACCAACUCCAAACUCUUUUUUUCUCUCCGUCGCGGCUCCCGUCGCGGCUCUGUUUUAUUUUUGCUCUGAGCCUUUCUCGGCGACCCUAGCGGGCGUCUCGAAAAUGAAUCAAAACUUUCAACAACGGAUCUCUUGGUUCUGGCAUCGAUGAAGAACGCAGCGAAAUGCGAUAAGUAAUGUGAAUUGCAGAAUUCAGUGAAUCAUCGAAUCUUUGAACGCACAUUGCGCCCGCCAGUAUUCUGGCGGGCAUGCCUGUCCGAGCGUCAUUUCAACCCUCGAACCCCUCCGGGGGGUCGGCGUUGGGGGAUCGGCCCCUCACCGGGCCGCCCCCGAAAUACAGUGGCGGUCUCGCCGCAGCCUCUCCUGCGCAGUAGUUUGCACACUCGCACCGGGAGCGCGGCGCGGCCACAGCCGUAAAACACCCCAAACUUCUGAAAUGUUGACCUCGGAUCAGGUAGGAAUACCCGCUGAACUUAAGCAUAUC
Molecule: ribosomal RNA, 583 nt
Filed under: Trichoderma longibrachiatum
Lineage: Eukaryota; Fungi; Ascomycota; Sordariomycetes; Hypocreales; Hypocreaceae
Description: eukaryotic LSU rRNA
Rfam family: 5.8S ribosomal RNA (bases 212-365)
Source: RNAcentral